CAAAUUCUUGCAUAUUCCUGUUCUUGAUGGAGAUGGGCGGGUUGCUGCUUGUUUGGACGUUCUGCAACUUACCCAUGCUGCAAUUUCAAUGGUUGAAGGAGGUCCUGGUGCUGCAACUGAUGUGGCAAACACGAUAAUGCAGAAAUUCUGGGACUCUGCACUUGCUCUAGAGCAACCUCGAGAGGAGGAUUUUGAUAGUCACAGGUUUAGUUAAUGUUUCUUUUGUGUUCUUUUUAUUUGUCUUCCCUCUCAAUGCAAUUCUUGCCUGAAUUAUUGCAUUGUACAAUGAAUUACCUUUAGUGAUGCCAUCAGAUGCCAGGGAUGGCAGUAGUAGUAUUUAUCGUCCUGCUGUUGAUAAUUUAUUUGUCUUUAAGCUUUAGGACAAGAAGGGACGCAUGCAUAGAUUCAC
Zea mays is the source of this 409-nucleotide long non-coding RNA. RefSeq lists it as uncharacterized. The record is from RefSeq and is a predicted model, not a curated record. Lineage: Eukaryota; Viridiplantae; Streptophyta; Magnoliopsida; Poales; Poaceae. The transcript has 3 exons.